Molecule: ribosomal RNA, 775 nt
Filed under: uncultured Neocallimastigales
Lineage: Eukaryota; Fungi; Neocallimastigomycota; Neocallimastigomycetes; Neocallimastigales
Description: partial large subunit ribosomal RNA
Rfam family: Eukaryotic large subunit ribosomal RNA
Source: RNAcentral
CAUAGCGACUAUCGUGGCAUAUCAAUAAGCGGAGGAAAAGAAACUAACAAGGAUUCCCCUAGUAACGGCGAGUGAAGCGGGAAGAGCUCAAAUUUGAAAUCUUAAAGGGUUUCCCUUUACGAAUUGUAGUUUAAAGAAGUGUUUUCUGUUGGAGUUUCGGUAAAAGUUCUUUGGAAUAGGACAUCAUAGAGGGUGAGAAUCCCGUAUUUGACCGUUACUUUCCAGCUGUGUGAUACACUUUCAAAGAGUCGGAUUGUUUGGGAAUGCAGUCCAAAAUGGGUGGUAAAUUUCAUCUAAAGCUAAAUAUUGGCGAGAGACCGAUAGCGAACAAGUACCGUGAGGGAAAGAUGAAAAGAACUUUGAAAAGAGAGUUAAACAGUACGUGAAAUUGUCAAAAGGGAAGCGUUUGACACCAGUGUUGUUUUUCCGAAAAUCAAUUACGAAUGUUUUGUUUUUGAGGAGUUAUGACUUCAUCGGCUUGCUCCUUUCUUUACGAAACUUUCUUAAUGCACUUUUCGGUUAACAAGUCAACAUCAAUUUCUUUUGUUGUAAAAGGGUAUGAGGAAGGUGGCUUUCUUUUCGGAGAAAGUGUUUAUAGCCUUGUGCCUCUACAAUCGGAGAGAUUGAGGUCUGCAGCGUAGAUCCUUCGGGGUUAGAUACGUUUGUGCUAAGUUAUAGCUUUUCAUAGACAACUUGUUGACUAUGUUUAGUCUUGUAGCUUACUCGCUGACGCUAUUUUACCUACGCUUAGGAUGUUGAUAUGCAUGACUGAUAU